UGUGUAGGCGGUUUGGUAAGCCUUCUGUUAAAGCUUCGGGCCCAACCCGGAAAGCGCAGAGGGUACUGCCAGGCUAGAGGGUGGGAGAGGAGCGCGGAAUUCCCGGUGUAGCGGUGAAAUGCGUAGAGAUCGGGAGGAAGGCCGGUGGCGAAGGCGGCGCUCUGGAACAUACCUGACGCUGAGACACGAAAGCGUGGGGAGCAAACA
This 207-nucleotide ribosomal RNA is filed under the name uncultured bacterium. Its description in RNAcentral is "partial 16S ribosomal RNA". It matches the Rfam family "Bacterial small subunit ribosomal RNA", at positions 568 to 774 of the family's 1533-position model. The record is from RNAcentral.